UAGGUUGCACCACCAUACUCUGAUG
Molecule: unclassified non-coding RNA, 25 nt
Filed under: Mus musculus (house mouse)
Lineage: Eukaryota; Metazoa; Chordata; Mammalia; Rodentia; Muridae
Description: oocyte_clustered_small_RNA13466
Source: RNAcentral